UUAACCGACUGAGCCACCCAGGCGCCCCCCCUCAACUCUUAUUUUCAUUCCAGUGUUCUUACCAUAGGUUGUAUUAAUUUCAGGCGUAUAAUAUAGCCGUCCAACAAUUCCGUGUCUCAGUGCUCAUCACGACAGGUGCACUCUCGAUCGCUUUCACCUGUUUCACCCAUUCCCCGCCCCCACCCGCCCUCUGGUGACCAGCUGUUUGUUCUCGAGAGUUAAGAGUCUGUUUUUUGGGUCGUGUCUCUCUCUUUUUUCUCUUCUUGCGCUCAUUUGUUUUGUGUCUUAAAUUCCACGUGGGAGUGAGAUCACGGGGCUUGUCUUCACGAUUACCGAACCCUGAAGGCCUGUACCUUGCGUCUGUCUGUCAAACAAUCACUUGGAUUGCUGUCUGGAAUUGUGAGUUGACUUUUCCCCUGGGUUCCGGUUAGUGAGGAUAUUCCAGCUACACAGUAAGCCCUUUGAGGGCCAGGCUCCCGGCUACAAGAUACAUUUUUGCAUUCCGCCCACCAGAGAUGUCCGCGGAGAAUUACACCACCCGUGUAUAGACGAGGAAACCGAAUGUUCAUGAGUCAUUUCUUUAGUUCAGUGUUUUUUCAAAUUGUGGUUGGAAGGAACCAGCGUCAGACUCGGGAAGCUCGCUGAACAGGAAGGUCCCUACGUGUCAGACCUACCGAGCCCGAAUCUGGAGAGGCGGCCUGACCGACAGCAUUGGAAGCACCCUCCUCCAGGCCAUUGUCAGGGAACGUGGUCCACCCAGGCGGAUGUUUGCUUUGCCCAAAGGGUUCUGGCUCCGGCUGGUGAACCAUUCCAGGACUGACGGCACAAGCUGAUUUGCAUAAGUGCCAAAGUCAAGUAAAACUGAAGCUGUAAACCAACCGAAGUAAUUAUGCCGGCGGGCCACGUGGAGCAGGGAAGCAUCUCGGGAUGCGCGGAAUCCCAUUCAUGGCAGCGCGGAGGAAUCGCGUGCUGUGGAGAACAAACAUCUCUCAUCCGGGGACUUGCUCACCAGGGAGAGACUGUCCUCCCGGGUCUAGCCAAUCCUGAAGGAGAGCAAACUACCCUCCAGGGAGCACUCCUUUCACAUACAAACUAACCAAACCAGAGUCUGGAUUCCAAAGCACCCCUCUGUAUGGCGCUUGCGCUCCAGAAGACGACACUCCUCCGCCCAAGUGUCCCAGGGCCCGGGCACCAAACCGCUGGCGACAACCUCUGUGCUCCAGAGCCCGUGGAAGCGCUCAAACUCGCCAGUCCUAAACCUGUCCACACUGCGUACACCGCCUGGCUCAUUCCUUCCAGAAAAACCCCAGUAAAGGCUCUCCUCCAUGCUUUCACCUUGCCCUUCACGCCUCCUGCCCGGUCCUGGCGGUGCAGCGUCCCUCCUGUUUCUGGGGAAUUUGCAAGUGACUGUCUCUUUAAUGCCAGUUGUCUCCUCAUCUUUUGGCCCCGUCGUCCCUGAAUAGUAGCACCAUCUACGUUUUUAAAACACCAGCAACGCUCUCCAUCACACACCCACAAAGUGAGAAAGAAAGAGAAGGAAGGCCAAGACCUGUAAUCACUACUUCAAUCCAGAAGAAUCUGUGAAGAAGGGGGGGUAGGUGACCAGUAUUUUCUGACUCCGGACAUUGUCUAGGUCAGCUUCAAGAGCUUGUAAAGUGACACUAUAUCAAUCUCAUUUUCGUGAGGGGCAACUAAGACUCAGAGAAGUUAAAUAAUUUGUCCAAGGCCACGAAGCUACUCUAGUAGGCAAGAAGGCCAAGUUUAACCCAUUUUUGUUUCAUUAAUCGUCAAUGCCAAUGCCAACCCAACCCCGAGCUUUUGGUCUCACCCCCUGCCAUUUAUACCCCCACCUUCUGUGGGGAUUCCUCUGGGUUCUAUUCCAAACUAGCUUUGCUGUUUACCAAAUCCCCCAAAACCCGAGGACGGAGAUUUAUGGCACUGUGCUUCCGUCUAAAGGUACUUCAAACAAUCAGUCACUGAUUUUUCCAGAGUAUCUGCCAUACCCCUCUUCUCUGGGUUAUCUGCAAUGAGGAAUGAGAACGAUCCUGGGCAAGACAUGAUCUGCACAUGGGGAACUUACAAUCCAAUCUGGGCUAAACAACGACCACAGGGAGAGCGAGACCAGGGGACCACAGGGGACAAAUUAAUGAGCUGCCAAAUCGUGUGGCCCACAAUAUGCAAGGAGAAAGAGGGCAGGAGAAAUUGAGGACUUCCUGGAAUAGGUAAAGUUUGACUAGGACCUUAAAGGAUGGGGAGAAGUUGAGUAAAGAAAAAAAGAAUUAUUUUUAGAGGGUAUGGCGGUUUCUAAAAACUAAAAAUAUCGGGGCGCGCACCUGGAUGGCUCAGUCGGUUAGGCUCAGGUCACGAUC
Molecule: long non-coding RNA, 2369 nt
Organism: Felis catus (domestic cat)
Lineage: Eukaryota; Metazoa; Chordata; Mammalia; Carnivora; Felidae
Exons: 5
Source: RefSeq, a predicted model, not a curated record